Jaculus jaculus (lesser Egyptian jerboa) is the source of this 138-nucleotide small nucleolar RNA. Ensembl annotates it as predicted gene, 22748. NCBI's taxonomy places the organism in Eukaryota, Metazoa, Chordata, Mammalia, Rodentia, Dipodidae. The record is from Ensembl.
GCAUGGGUUUGGAUUUAUGGCAGGCCUGUCUCCCUGGGGCUCUCAUACAUAGUGUUUUAUGCCAAAGCAAACUGUAUUCCUGAACCAUUGCCUGGCUUCUCCCUGUAGGCUGCUGGCACUGAAGUGGUCUGCCCUGAG